UACAGAGGUCUCAAGCGUUGUUCGGAAUCACUGGGCGUAAAGGGUGCGUAGGCGGCGGGGAAAGUCAGAUGUGAAAUCCGGAGGCUCAACCUCCGAAAUGCAUCCGAUACUCCCUCGCUAGAGAUUUGUAGAGGAGUCUGGAAUUCUCGGUGUAGCAGUGAAAUGCGUAGAUAUCGAGAGGAACACCGGUGGCGAAGGCGGCUAUCUGGACAGUGACUGACGCUGAGACGCGAAAGCGUGGGGAGCAAACAGG
Molecule: ribosomal RNA, 253 nt
Filed under: uncultured bacterium
Lineage: Bacteria
Description: partial 16S ribosomal RNA
Rfam family: Bacterial small subunit ribosomal RNA
Source: RNAcentral